Bombus terrestris (buff-tailed bumblebee) is the source of this 934-nucleotide long non-coding RNA. RefSeq lists it as uncharacterized. The record is from RefSeq and is a predicted model, not a curated record. The transcript is spliced from 2 exons. NCBI's taxonomy places the organism in Eukaryota, Metazoa, Arthropoda, Insecta, Hymenoptera, Apidae.
ACUAACUAAUUUUCCAAUUUUCAGAUAAUGUUUAAAGGCUUUUAGCGUUAGACAGAUAAUAUAAAAGUUACACUGACAUUUACAAAAGUGCAUACAUACAUGUGUAUGACUUUUACACAGAAGCAAUAACGCAGUACGUGAUACAGGCAACGAUAAACGUAAAUGGUGACGCAUCGUGGCCAUGUUUCAAUACAACACGUUGCCACAAAGUCUGUCUGUCCAGACUCGUACAGAUCGAUCCGCCUUUCUAAUAAUUUUAUUUACAUUCGUUCGUUGUUUUUCCGAGGAUCAGAACGAAGCAACGGGAUAUCGAGAAACAGACAUUUCCGAUGAAAAGAGCGAGCUUUCAAACCAAUCGCACCGACGCCCUUCAUCCGAGCAACAUGAAUUGAAUCGCUGUAAAUCAUUCAGCCUGCAAACGAAGAUAGAAACGAUUUUCUCCACCCGUUAUCUAUUUGCGGACCGAUAUUUCCAUUUCCGCAGAGAACGAAUUUGCACAUGUACUCUAAUCCACGAAGUCAUUCGAACGCUCACGAUUUACCGUAUUGAGACGCGACUGUCAUAAUUAUAUCGUUUCAGAUUUGUUUCAAGAACUUUACUGAUACGUAUGUGAAAUUUGGAGACGUAAAAAUGCACAGGAUACGUACAGUGUACAAAAAUACUAAUGUAAUAUAUUUUUCGCAUAUUUUGGAAUAUUAUUAAACUUAUAUUGUGUAUCCGAAAAUAUCGAAAUUUACAGACAGUAGAGUAAAUUACUAAUUAUACAAAAAUAUAUAAAAUAUCCAAGGUAUUAAAAUUUCAUUGAAAUAUAAAUUUGCUCACAAAUUUGUUGUCUAAUCAUGAUACCGCGAUUAUCUUUCGCGUAAUAUAUGUAUACAUAAUAUAUUCAUAGAAUCUUUUUAUCUGUUUCCGAAUAAUUUCGUGAGUCAUUGUA